UACGGGGGGGGCAAGCGUUGUUCGGAAUUACUGGGCGUAAAGGGCUCGUAGGCGGCCAACUAAGUCGGACGUGAAAUCCCUCGGCUUAACCGGGGAACUGCGUCCGAUACUGGAUGGCUGGAGGUUGGGAGAGGGAUGCGGAAUUCCAGGUGUAGCGGUGAAAUGCGUAGAUAUUGGGAGGAACACCGGUGACGAAGGCGGCUACCUGGACCGGUACUGACGCUGAGGCGCGAAAGCUAGGGUAGCAAACAGG
This 253-nucleotide ribosomal RNA is filed under the name uncultured bacterium. RNAcentral's name for it is "partial 16S ribosomal RNA". It matches the Rfam family "Bacterial small subunit ribosomal RNA", at positions 524 to 776 of the family's 1533-position model. The record is from RNAcentral.